AACAAGAAAUGUUUAUCUUCUUCAUCUUCUCUCUUCUUCUUCCUGCCUUUCUCUGAACUCUUCUGAAUCUCAUCUCUAUUUCUUCUGUAUCUCACCUCAUUUCUGUUACUUCACUUGAUAAGCCAUUUUGGUACUUGAUAAUCCAGAAUCGAAAUUCUUCUGCUGGUGAAACACACGCCAAGUGUUCGACAAAACGCCCAGGCGAGAUUUCUGCAUUUUUCCUUGGUGUGGGUUCAGAUUUGGUCGUGAGACCUUGAGGCAGCUCGUGAUGUUCUUGUUUCCUCUUCUCAGGUGGUUCUUCAGUUGCAUUCACCGGAAAAAGCGUAGCAAAAAUUUCACGAAUCCCUUUUCGAUACUCCUCUUGUUGAGCUUCAAGCCUUUGGACGAUGGAAUCUAGCUUUUCCUCCACCUUUUCAACAAAUCGAUCGAGUGUUGCUUCUAGAUCAGAGAUUGUGGCGGCUUGAUUGGUUUGAGCAGCUUGAGUAGUCUUGAGUUCAACUCUCAAUGAAAGCACCAAUUGAUAAGUACCAAAAUGGCUUAUCAAGAUAUGUAACAGAAAGAGAUGAGAUAAUAGAAGAAAUAGGUUGAGAUGCAGAAGAAUUUCAGAAAAGGAAAGGAAGGAGAAAGAAGAUGAAGAAGAUAAACAUUCUUA
RNAcentral lists this small RNA (652 nucleotides) under Arabidopsis thaliana (thale cress). RNAcentral's name for it is "ATSL155650". The record is from RNAcentral. Lineage: Eukaryota; Viridiplantae; Streptophyta; Magnoliopsida; Brassicales; Brassicaceae.